UGGACAAAUGAAUGAGACAGUCAUAAUUCAACUGGAAGAUUGCCCUGACACCAAUGUAAUUGACAUUGUCCAUCUGCUUCAAAGAUCAAAUACACUUUCUGAUGAUGAGCGUGCAAAAGUGAAUGACCUGGCUGUCAUUUGGGAUCUGCCUCGGGUCACUGUGGAAAACAGACUGUGGCUAGCCCAAAGCCUUCUUCACCAUGCGGUCAUUGGCCGGCGGGAGAAACAGAUGCAGCAGUUGAAAAAAAGACUGUAGGAUACUGGAGUUUUGCGCAUGGUUAAAGAACGACCUUCUCUUAUUGAAGUCCUAUUUCCACGAUCAUCUUCCCUGACAAUUGAUGCACAGAUGAUCCUGGAAAAAGUAAUAUGGCCAAACCCUGACAGUGAUGAUGAGGAGAACUUCAAUCUGGAAACAUGCUGCAGAAUCACAUCCUAUUUACGGCAAUACGUUGAACAAGGUACACCACAAGAGCUGAAAAAUCUUGUUGAGUUUUGGGUUGGAUGGACAAGCCUACCACAGGAACUGUACGUGGAAGUGUCUCCUGACGUCAGAAUGCCAACUGCCUCAACAUGCAGGGAGACCCUUAAAAUCCCACUGCAUUACAGUGAUUAUGAAGAAUUCUGCGCUGAUCUAAAUGCAGCUGUGUCCAGCAACAGCUUUGUUUUGGUUUAGUCUAAAAUGAAUAUUUCGUAAACCCUCAUGUUGUCUUAGGGUUCUGUUUGGAAUUUUGAGACUUUUGUUACAUUAUUUGUCUAAACGCAUAAUAAACCUGGGUUUGAUUUAA
This is a long non-coding RNA of Carassius auratus (goldfish), 785 nucleotides long. RefSeq lists it as uncharacterized. The transcript has 5 exons. The record is from RefSeq and is a predicted model, not a curated record. NCBI's taxonomy places the organism in Eukaryota, Metazoa, Chordata, Actinopteri, Cypriniformes, Cyprinidae.